This 500-nucleotide ribosomal RNA is filed under the name uncultured bacterium. RNAcentral's name for it is "bacterial SSU rRNA". It matches the Rfam family "Bacterial small subunit ribosomal RNA", at positions 8 to 501 of the family's 1533-position model. The record is from RNAcentral.
AGAGUUUGAUCAUGGCUCAGGAUGAACGCUAGCGGCAGGCUUAACACAUGCAAGUCGAGGAGAAACAGGUAGCAAUAUCUGGAGUAAACUGGCGAACGGGUGAGUAACACGUAGACAACUUACCUUACAAACGGGAAUAACUCCGCGAAAGCGGUGCUAAUACCCGAUAUUGCUCGAAUGUGGCAUCACAAUCGAGUGAAAGGUCGAAAGACGUUGUAAGAUGGGUCUGCGUCCCAUUAGAUAGUUGGCGGGGUAAUGGCCCACCAAGUCGACGAUGGGUAGCUGGUCUGAGAGGACGAUCAGCCACACUGGAACUGAGACACGGUCCAGACUUCUACGGAAGGCAGCAGUGAGGAAUAUUGGACAAUGGGCGCAAGCCUGAUCCAGCCAUGCCGCGUGCAGGAUGACGGUCCUAUGGAUUGUAAACUGCUUUUUGUACAGGAAGAGACACUCCGACGUGUCGGAGCUUGACGGUACUGUAAGAAUAAGGAUCGGCUAAC